Molecule: microRNA precursor, 82 nt
Filed under: Marmota monax (woodchuck)
Lineage: Eukaryota; Metazoa; Chordata; Mammalia; Rodentia; Sciuridae
Source: RNAcentral
UGUGUGUGUGUGUGUGUAUGUGCGUGUGUGUCUGUCCUUGUCUUCCCCCACACACACAUACACACACACACACACACACACA